This 250-nucleotide ribosomal RNA is filed under the name uncultured bacterium. Its description in RNAcentral is "partial 16S ribosomal RNA". It matches the Rfam family "Bacterial small subunit ribosomal RNA", at positions 524 to 773 of the family's 1533-position model. The record is from RNAcentral.
UACAGAGGGGGCAAGCGUUGUUCGGAAUUACUGGGCGUAAAGGGCGCGUAGGCGGCCAACUAAGUCGGACGUGAAAUCCCCGGGCUCAACCCGGGAACUGCGUCCGAUACUGGAUGGCUCGAAUUCGGGAGAGGGAUGUGGAAUUCCAGGUGUAGCGGUGAAAUGCGUAGAUAUCUGGAGGAACACCGGUGGCGAAGGCGGCAUCCUGGACCGGUAUUGACGCUGAUGCGCGAAAGCCAGGGGAGCAAAC